This is a long non-coding RNA of Nothoprocta perdicaria, 246 nucleotides long. RefSeq lists it as uncharacterized. The record is from RefSeq and is a predicted model, not a curated record. NCBI's taxonomy places the organism in Eukaryota, Metazoa, Chordata, Aves, Tinamiformes, Tinamidae. The transcript is spliced from 2 exons.
AAGUGCUGUUCUUCUUUUGCGGAGGAAAUACAAGGAGCUGUACAAGACUGAACCCCUGAAGUCAACAGAGAUGUGCCACGGUGGAUGUUACUUUAAAAGCUCUGCAUCCUGAGGGAGCGAUGGCACAGAAGUGACCACAAAAUCUCACCUUGGAGGGUACAACUGGAGCAUCCCCUCCAUUCAAUCUUAAGAAAAGUAUGGGAGAAAUUACAGCCACUCGUCUCUUCCCCAGACCGCUCCACAGCA